This 415-nucleotide ribosomal RNA is filed under the name uncultured bacterium. RNAcentral's name for it is "bacterial SSU rRNA". It matches the Rfam family "Bacterial small subunit ribosomal RNA", at positions 402 to 809 of the family's 1533-position model. The record is from RNAcentral.
UGAGUGAAGAAGGCCUUCGGGUUGUAAAGCUCUUUUGUCAGGGAAGAAACGGCUGAGGAUAAUACCUUCGGCUAAUGACGGUACCUGAAGAAUAAGCACCGGCUAACUACGUGCCAGCAGCCGCGGUAAUACGUAGGGUGCAAGCGUUAAUCGGAAUUACUGGGCGUAAAGCGUGCGCAGGCGGUUUUGUAAGUCUGACGUGAAAGCCCCGGGCUCAACCUGGGAAUUGCGUUGGAGACUGCAAGGCUUGAAUCUGGCAGAGGGGGGUAGAAUUCCACGUGUAGCAGUGAAAUGCGUAGAGAUGUGGAGGAACACCCAUGGCGAAGGCAGCCCCCUGGGUCAAGAUUGACGCUCAUGCACGAAAGCGUGGGGAGCAAACAGGAUUAGAUACCCUGGUAGUCCACGCCCUAAACGA